This 72-nucleotide transfer RNA is filed under the name Ipomoea nil (Japanese morning glory). It matches the Rfam family "tRNA". From Rfam's summary of the family: Transfer RNA (tRNA) molecules are approximately 80 nucleotides in length. Their secondary structure includes four short double-helical elements and three loops (D, anti-codon, and T loops). Lineage: Eukaryota; Viridiplantae; Streptophyta; Magnoliopsida; Solanales; Convolvulaceae. The record is from Rfam by way of RNAcentral.
GGAUGUUUGGUCUAGUGGUAUGAUUCUCGCUUUGGGUGCGAGAGGUUGUGAGUUUGAUUCUCGUAACACCCC